CCGAACAAGGUCUCCGUAGGUGAACCUGCGGAGGGAUCAUUACACAAAUAUGAAGGCGGGCUGGAACCUCUCGGGGUUACAGCCUUGCUGAAUUAUUCACCCUUGUCUUUUGCGUACUUCUUGUUUCCUUGGUGGGUUCGCCCACCACUAGGACAAACAUAAACCUUUUGUAAUUGCAAUCAGCGUCAGUAACAAAUUAAUAAUUACAACUUUCAACAACGGAUCUCUUGGUUCUGGCAUCGAUGAAGAACGCAGCGAAAUGCGAUAAGUAGUGUGAAUUGCAGAAUUCAGUGAAUCAUCGAAUCUUUGAACGCACAUUGCGCCCUUUGGUAUUCCAAAGGGCAUGCCUGUUCGAGCGUCAUUUGUACCCUCAAGCUUUGCUUGGUGUUGGGCGUCUUGUCUCUAGCUUUGCUGGAGACUCGCCUUAAAGUAAUUGGCAGCCGGCCUACUGGUUUCGGAGCGCAGCACAAGUCGCACUCUCUAUCAGCAAAGGUCUAGCAUCCAUUAAGCCUUUUUUCAACUUUGACCUCGAUCAGUAGAC
Molecule: ribosomal RNA, 541 nt
Filed under: Alternaria sp. CX2
Lineage: Eukaryota; Fungi; Ascomycota; Dothideomycetes; Pleosporales; Pleosporaceae
Description: eukaryotic LSU rRNA
Rfam family: 5.8S ribosomal RNA (bases 208-361)
Source: RNAcentral